This 254-nucleotide ribosomal RNA is filed under the name uncultured bacterium. RNAcentral describes it as "partial 16S ribosomal RNA". It matches the Rfam family "Bacterial small subunit ribosomal RNA", at positions 524 to 776 of the family's 1533-position model. The record is from RNAcentral.
UACGUAGGGUGCGAGCGUUAAUCGGAAUUACUGGGCGUAAAGCGUGCGCAGGCGGUUAUGUAAGACAGUUGUGAAAUCCCCGGGCUCAACCUGGGAAUUGCAUCUGUGACUGCAUAGCUAGAGUACGGUAGAGGGGGAUGGAAUUCCGCGUGUAGCAGUGAAAUGCGUAGAUAUGCGGAGGAACACCGAUGGCGAAGGCAAUCCCCUGGACCUGUACUGACGCUCAUGCACGAAAGGCGUGGGGAGCAAACAGG